Molecule: ribosomal RNA, 496 nt
Filed under: uncultured bacterium
Lineage: Bacteria
Description: partial 16S ribosomal RNA
Rfam family: Bacterial small subunit ribosomal RNA
Source: RNAcentral
GAUGAACGCUGGCGGCGUGCCUAAUACAUGCAAGUCGAGCGAACAGACGAGGAGCUUGCUCCUCUGACGUUAGCGGCGGACGGGUGAGUAACACGUGGAUAACCUACCUAUAAGACUGGGAUAACUUCGGGAAACCGGAGCUAAUACCGGAUAAUAUAUUGAACCGCAUGGUUCAAUAGUGAAAGACGGUUUUGCUGUCACUUAUAGAUGGAUCCGCGCCGCAUUAGCUAGUUGGUAAGGUAACGGCUUACCAAGGCAACGAUGCGUAGCCGACCUGAGAGGGUGAUCGGCCACACUGGAACUGAGACACGGUCCAGACUCCUACGGGAGGCAGCAGUAGGGAAUCUUCCGCAAUGGGCGAAAGCCUGACGGAGCAACGCCGCGUGAGUGAUGAAGGUCUUCGGAUCGUAAAACGCUGUUAUUAGGGAAGAACAAAUGUGUAAGUAACUAUGCACGUCUUGACGGUACCUAAGCAGAAAGCCACGGCUAACUACGU